This 69-nucleotide transfer RNA is filed under the name Succineidae gen. n. sp. z RM-2021. Its description in RNAcentral is "tRNA-Phe". Lineage: Eukaryota; Metazoa; Mollusca; Gastropoda; Stylommatophora; Succineidae. The record is from RNAcentral.
UUUAUGUUAGCUUAAAUUUUUAAAAAAGCAAAGCUUUGAAGAAGCUUAGAUCAAUAUUUUUUUUGAUAU